GGACUGUGAGGGCAAUUUCGCUGCAACAUCUGUCACCCCAUUGAUCGCCGGGGUUGAUUCGGCUGAUCUGGCUUGCUAGGUGGGUGUCCCCAUCCUCCCUCACUGCUCCAUGUGCGUCCCUCUGGCAGACGCGUACUCGGUCAAAGAGGACAACUUUCCCCAAACAGACGAGGACCAGUCUUUGGUCAAGGGUAUACAAGUAGCUGCACUCCCCUGCUAGAACCUCCAAGCAAGCUCUUAAGAAAGCUGCUGGCCCUGACAAAAGUUUUCCAGGACUGUAAGUAGCUUAGCUGGAGGGGCAGAAUUAGAACUCCAGAGAUUUGUUGCUGG
This 330-nucleotide small nuclear RNA is filed under the name Jaculus jaculus (lesser Egyptian jerboa). RNAcentral's name for it is "7SK RNA (ENSJJAG00000006192.1)". It matches the Rfam family "7SK RNA". Rfam says of the family: 7SK was discovered as an abundant small nuclear RNA in the mid-70s but a possible function has only recently been suggested. Two independent studies have found that 7SK RNA binds the CDK9/cyclin T complex (known as elongation factor P-TEFb). Lineage: Eukaryota; Metazoa; Chordata; Mammalia; Rodentia; Dipodidae. The record is from RNAcentral.